GAGAGAUGGCUCAGUGGUUAAGAGCACUUGACUGCUCUUCUAGAGGUUCUGAGUUCAAUUCCCAGCAAUCAUGCG
RNAcentral lists this transfer RNA (75 nucleotides) under Mus musculus (house mouse). Its description in RNAcentral is "tRNA-Ser". The stretch from base 7 to 65 matches the Rfam family "tRNA", at positions 8 to 63 of the family's 71-position model. From Rfam's summary of the family: Transfer RNA (tRNA) molecules are approximately 80 nucleotides in length. Their secondary structure includes four short double-helical elements and three loops (D, anti-codon, and T loops). Further hydrogen bonds mediate the characteristic L-shaped molecular structure. tRNAs have two regions of fundamental functional importance: the anti-codon, which is responsible for specific mRNA codon recognition, and the 3' end, to which the tRNAs corresponding amino acid is attached (by aminoacyl-tRNA synthetases). tRNAs cope with the degeneracy of the genetic code in two manners: having more than one tRNA (with a specific anti-codon) for a particular amino acid; and 'wobble' base-pairing, i.e. permitting non-standard base-pairing at the 3rd anti-codon position. The record is from RNAcentral. Lineage: Eukaryota; Metazoa; Chordata; Mammalia; Rodentia; Muridae.